UACGUAGGGUGCGAGCGUUGCCCGGAUUUACUGGGCGUAAAGAGCGCGCAGGCGGUCGUUCAAGUCGCGUGUGAAAGCCCCCGGCUCAACUGGGGAGGGUCACGCGAUACUGAUCGACUCGAAGGCAGGAGAGGGAAGUGGAAUUCCCGGUGUAGUGGUGAAAUGCGCAGAUAUCAGGAGGAACACCGGUGGCGAAGGCGGGUCUCUGGGCCGAUACUGACGCUGAGGAGCGAAAGCGUGGGGAGCGAACAGG
RNAcentral lists this ribosomal RNA (253 nucleotides) under uncultured bacterium. RNAcentral's name for it is "partial 16S ribosomal RNA". It matches the Rfam family "Bacterial small subunit ribosomal RNA", at positions 524 to 776 of the family's 1533-position model. The record is from RNAcentral.